Molecule: transfer RNA, 66 nt
Filed under: Vesperus conicicollis
Lineage: Eukaryota; Metazoa; Arthropoda; Insecta; Coleoptera; Cerambycidae
Description: tRNA-Asp
Source: RNAcentral
AAAAAUUUAGUUAAAAAAAUAACAUUAGUUUGUCAAACUAAAAUUAUUAAUUAUUAAUAAUUUUUA